AGCAGCCGCGGUAAUUCCAGCUCCAAUAGCGUAUAUUAAAGUUGUUGCAGUUAAAAAGCUCGUAGUUGAAUUUCGGGGUCAGUAGGUCGGUUGUGCCACUGGUAUGAACUGGUUUUACUGAUUCCUCCCUCUUGAAGAACUGUAAUGCCAUUAAUUUGGUGUUGCAGGGAAUCAGGACUGUUACUUUGAAAAAUUAGAGUGUUUAAAGCAGGCUUUAGCUUGAAUACAUUAGCAUGGAAUAAUGAAAUAGGACGUUUGAUCCUAUUUUGUUGGUUUCUAGGAUUGACGUAAUGAUUAAUAGGGAUAGUUGGGGGCAUUAGUAUUCAAUUGUCAGAGGUGAAAUUCUUGGAUUUAUUGAAGACUAACUACUGCGAAAGCAUUUGCCAAGGAUGUUUUCAUUAAUCAAGAACGAAAGUUAGGGGAUCGAAGACGAUCAGAUACCGUCGUAGUCUUAACCAUAAACUAUGCCGACUAGGGAUCGGAUGAUGUUAAUUUUUAAUGUA
This 503-nucleotide ribosomal RNA is filed under the name uncultured Glomus. RNAcentral's name for it is "SSU rRNA". It matches the Rfam family "Eukaryotic small subunit ribosomal RNA", at positions 569 to 1078 of the family's 1831-position model. Lineage: Eukaryota; Fungi; Glomeromycota; Glomeromycetes; Glomerales; Glomeraceae. The record is from RNAcentral.